AAGACGGUCUUGCUGUCACUUAUAGAUGGAUCCGCGCUGCAUUAGCUAGUUGGUAAGGUAACGGCUUACCAAGGCAACGAUGCAUAGCCGACCUGAGAGGGUGAUCGGCCACACUGGAACUGAGACACGGUCCAGACUCCUACGGGAGGCAGCAGUAGGGAAUCUUCCGCAAUGGGCGAAAGCCUGACGGAGCAACGCCGCGUGAGUGAUGAAGGUCUUCGGAUCGUAAAACUCUGUUAUUAGGGAAGAACAUAUGUGUAAGUAACUGUGCACAUCUUGACGGUACCUAAUCAGAAAGCCACGGCUAACUACGUGCCAGCAGCCGCGGUAAUACGUAGGUGGCAAGCGUUAUCCGGAAUUAUUGGGCGUAAAGCGCGCGUAGGCGGUUUUUUAAGUCUGAUGUGAAAGCCCACGGCUCAACCGUGGAGGGUCAUUGGAAACUGGAAAACUUGAGUGCAGAAGAGGAAAGUGGAAUUCCAUGUGUAGCGGUGAAAUGCGCAGAGAUAUGGAGGAACACCAGUGGCGAAGGCGACUUUCUGGUCUGUAACUGACGCUGAUGUGCGAAAGCGUGGGGAUCAAACAGGAUUAGAUACCCUGGUAGUCCACGCCGUAAACGAUGAGUGCUAAGUGUUAGGGGGUUUCCGCCCCUUAGUGCUGCAGCUAACGCAUUAAGCACUCCGCCUGGGGAGUACGACCGCAAGGUUGAAACUCAAAGGAAUUGACGGGGACCCGCACAAGCGGUGGAGCAUGUGGU
RNAcentral lists this ribosomal RNA (754 nucleotides) under Staphylococcus aureus. RNAcentral's name for it is "bacterial SSU rRNA". It matches the Rfam family "Bacterial small subunit ribosomal RNA", at positions 202 to 945 of the family's 1533-position model. Lineage: Bacteria; Bacillati; Bacillota; Bacilli; Caryophanales; Staphylococcaceae. The record is from RNAcentral.